This is a long non-coding RNA of Argentina anserina (silverweed cinquefoil), 2328 nucleotides long. RefSeq lists it as uncharacterized. The record is from RefSeq and is a predicted model, not a curated record. Lineage: Eukaryota; Viridiplantae; Streptophyta; Magnoliopsida; Rosales; Rosaceae. The transcript has 3 exons.
GGAGACUUCAUGGAGCUCAAGCUGCCUAGGACCUUACAAACGGUAAUGUAAAGCCUUUUUGCUUAGUUCUUAACUUGAGCCCUUAUCCAAUUUGUUGAAUUUGAAUUUAACUCAAUGCCCUCUUCAAUUACCUCUCUGAUGAGUUCUUGUAAUGGGCAUCUAGCAUUGGAACUGAUGACUACAUUGCUUGUAAUUCUCGUAUUUUGGUGCACCUUAGUCUGCUCCCAAAGAACUGUACACCGAAAUUUGAGAUGAUUUAUGCGAUGGUGAUCCAUGCAUUGGCUCAGGUUCCAGUUAUUUCUAGUUUAACUUUAUGGAUGAAUUGGGAAUGCACUGGUUUUUGUUCGUUUGUUGUUUUUGGGUGGAGUUUUCGUUGAUACAUUAUAUUCAGUAAGUUGUUCAAAGUUUAUAGCCUUGAUUGAUGUUUCAUUAGUAUAUUAUUUGUACCAUCUCAUUGGUCAGAGCCGUUUUUAGUUGUGAAACUGCCAGCUUAUGUUUAGUAUUACUUGAAUAAUCCCAUGUUUGAUUCUGUAUAAUUCCAAGUAUCAUUAAUUCAGAAUGUUGGUUAUGACACCGUUUCUAUUGCUUGUAUUCAGGUGGCAAGCCAAGAAACAUAUGGGACUUUGGGUGCUAUAGUUAAAAGCCAAACAUGGAACAUAUUAGUUGGUUUUCUUAAUUUUAGUUAACUGAAGCUUAGGGAAGUCACUCCAAAAGUAGGGUGCAUGGCUACUUGUAUGAACUGAACCUUGGAUGUUGCUAAAUUCAAUACUUAAGAAUGACUUGUCCCUGCCUCAUUAGAGAAACAAAUGAUAUAUUAGUAUGAAUUAUAUGUUGUUGUUUUGUGAGCACAUGCUUUGGUUGAAGAGUUUAAUUAAGGCAAGAUGAGAUUAAUAAUACCGAUUCUUAUUACUAGUCAAUGAUCCAAGCAGACUUGACCAAUCCUAUCUUACUCAGCAACUAUUCAGAGAGAAGGUAGUAUACCUUCCCACUUUCAUAAAUUGGAGUAUAGUUUAUAUAUUUUGGUCAGCACUUUGAUGUUUGAUUCCAUUUGGGAUGUGUUUCUGAUCAUGAUGAUGUGAAUAGGUGCAAGGAACUAUGCUAAAGCAGAGGAGUACUGUCAAAGAGCAAUUUUGGCCAAUCCGAUUGAUGCCGAUGUUUUAUCAACUUAUGUUGAUCUGAUAUGGAACACACCAGAUGAUAGGUACUUCUUAUAGUCAGCAAGUAAACACAGAUAGAUAUGGACCUAGAUUUCAAAUGAACGCAGGGUUGGCCUAUUCAGAAAUCUGAGUCAUUAGAUUGUAUUAAAGAGAAUGGGACUGAAGCCCAUUUGGAAGAUAGGAAACUACAGAAACAAGGGUCUACUACAUCAGGUAUCGUCUCUAUUUCAGUCACAAUAAGCCACAUAAACUCAUUAAGUGCAUGUUAUUUGUUGGUUUCUGUAGAGCAUGUAUUGGUUUAUCGAAUUGUAGAGACUGAGUUGAUGAAGGAGAGGUUUGCGAAAUUGAUGGUUGAAGAAGAUAUGUCAGGCUGUGGAAACAGCAUUGGCUAUAUCAAAUGCCAUUACUAAUCUUUGUGCUACCCUAUUUGAGCAACUUUGGAGACUAGAACCUCUAUCGCGGGAGAAGAAAUUAAUGUGGCAAAGAGAGAUGGAAUGGCUUAUUUCACUUUCAGAUCCUUGAGAAGGUUAAAUUAGCAUAUGACCUCCCUAUAGUUACAUAUGUCCAUGAAUCCAUACAAGUAGUUGUUUAUCUUGUAAAAUCCUAUGUUCAAAGAGCAAAUCAUGAACUGGUAUAAGUUAUUUCUCACACUUCUCAAUGCUGUUUUGUAUUGCUAGUGUGAAAUUGGAAAAGUUGCCGAUAUCAUCCAGAUUCCUGCCUUUUUUAUGCAUGUGCCUCUGUUAACAUAUUAUUUAACAGAGGAUUGCGUAAUAUUAUUUGCAAGAAGAAGCCAGUGGUAGUUUUCUAUUUACGUUUGCAUGAUUUAUGAUUGCUAGGAAUGCUAGCUAAUAUUAUUACUCUUGGUUUGUGCUAUGUCGUAGAGGAUGUUGAUGCAUGACUAUUUUAUAGAAGGCCUAUGACUCUAGUUUGGAUGUUUCAAAGGAUGCUGGCAAGGAUAUUAAAAGCUUGGAUGGAGUGAAGAGUUGGUACAUUUGUUCUUUUCUACUGUAAACCUUGUAGGUCUUAGUUUUAGGUAUGUAUUAGGAUGUAAGAGGUUUUUUGUUUGCUAGAACUCCUAGAAGACGUAUAUGAAUUCAUGUAUUUUUUUGGUUAUGAUAUAAUGUCAAUUGGAUACUUGAUGACUUUUUGAAAUGAAUGUGGUUUAUAUGAA